This 235-nucleotide ribosomal RNA is filed under the name uncultured bacterium. RNAcentral's name for it is "partial 16S ribosomal RNA". The record is from RNAcentral.
CUGCUGCCUCCCGUAGGAGUCUGGGCCGUGUCUCAGUCCCAAUGUGGCCGGCCAACCUCUCAGUCCGGCUACUGAUCGUCGCCUUGGUGGGCCGUUACCCCGCCAACUAGCUAAUCAGACGCGAGUCCAUCUCAGAGCGAUAAAUCUUUGGCAGUCAGAGCCAUGCGACUCAACUGCAUCAUGCGGUAUUAGCAGCUGUUUCCAACUGUUAUUCCCCACUCCAAGGCAGGUUACU